Molecule: long non-coding RNA, 286 nt
Filed under: Malus domestica (apple)
Lineage: Eukaryota; Viridiplantae; Streptophyta; Magnoliopsida; Rosales; Rosaceae
Description: long non-coding RNA (MDOM_LNC019700)
Source: RNAcentral
CAAAGUGUUGGAAAUGUGCCCUAAAACCAAUCAUAUGAUGAUACUUUACGGACAUUUCACAUGUUAAACUAAUAUAGUUUAAUAUAAAGGGUAAACAUUAUUGUUUGAAGCCGUCUCAUAUAAAUGUUAUACGCUUAAACGAUAAGUCCAAGGAAUAUGUAAUUAGGAGAAUGCGAUCUAAAGAAGUUAGAUUCAUGAGACCAUUCUCUUUCGUAUACAUAUCCUAAACGUUCCUAAUCAUAGGAUUGCCAAUUGGGCAUUGACAAUCCGUUAAGAUUAGUACGUG